UUGGGUUUAAAGUGAGCGUAGGUGGCUUGAUAAGUCAGAUGUGAAAUCCCCGGGCUUAACCUGGGGAACUGCAUCUGAUACUGUUAGGCUAGAAUAGGUGAGAGGAAGGUAGAAUUCCAGGUGUAGCGGUGAAAUGCGUAGAGAUCUGGAGGAAUACCGAUGGCGAAGGCAGCCUCCUGGCAUCAUACUGACACUGAGGUUCGAAAGCGUGGGUAGCAAACAGGAUUAGAUACCCUAGUA
Molecule: ribosomal RNA, 240 nt
Filed under: uncultured Pseudomonadota bacterium
Lineage: Bacteria; Pseudomonadati; Pseudomonadota
Description: uncultured proteobacterium partial 16S ribosomal RNA
Rfam family: Bacterial small subunit ribosomal RNA
Source: RNAcentral